Molecule: ribosomal RNA, 301 nt
Filed under: uncultured bacterium
Lineage: Bacteria
Description: partial 16S ribosomal RNA
Rfam family: Bacterial small subunit ribosomal RNA
Source: RNAcentral
CAGUAGCCGCGGUAAUACGUAGGUCCCGAGCGUUGUCCGGAUUUAUUGGGCGUAAAGCGCGCGCAGGCGGAUAGGUCAGUCUGUCUUAAAAGUUCGGGGCUUAACCCCGUGAUGGGAUGGAAACUGCCAAUCUAGAGUAUCGGAGAGGAAAGUGGAAUUCCUAGUGUAGCGGUGAAAUGCGUAGGUAUUAGGAAGAACACCAGUGGCGAAGGCGACUUUCUGGACGAAAACUGACGCUGAGGCGCGAAAGCCAGGGGAGCGAACGGGAUUAGAUACCCCAGUAGUCCCUGUCUCUUAUACA